UGCAGUUAAAAAGCUCGUAGUUGGAUUUCUGCGUCGGGUGGGGCCGCCUGGUUUCCCUCAAGGGGCCGUGGUCGUGUCCCCCGCCUGCGCAUCCUGCCGCGAUCGGCGCUGCUCUUAGUUGAGCGGCGUUUCCCGGGACCGGCUCGUUUACUUUGAGAAAAAUAGAGUGUUCAAAGCAGGCCACCUCGCCUUGAAUAAGUUAGCAUGGAAUAAUGAUAAAGGACUUCGGUUCUAUUUUCGUUGGUUGCCGCGGACUGAAGUAAUGAUUGAUAGGGACAGUUGGGGGCGUCAGUAUUCUGGAGCGAGAGGUGAAAUUCUUAGACCUCCGGAGGACUAACCGCUGCGAAAGCGUUCGCCAAGGAUGUUCCCUUUGAUCAAGAACGAAAGUUGGGGGAUCGAAGACGAUCAGAUACCGUCGUAGUCUCAACUAUAAACUAUACCAGCUAGGGAUCGGCCGCCGUUGGAAUUUCGAGACUCGGUCGGCACCUUAUGAGAAAUCAAAGCAUCUGGGUUCCGGGGGGAGUAUGGUCGCAAGGCUGAAACUUAAAGGAAUUGACGGAAGGGCACCACCAGGCGUGGAGCCUGUGGCUUAAUUUGACUCA
RNAcentral lists this ribosomal RNA (602 nucleotides) under uncultured marine eukaryote. RNAcentral's name for it is "bacterial SSU rRNA". It matches the Rfam family "Eukaryotic small subunit ribosomal RNA", at positions 614 to 1202 of the family's 1831-position model. The record is from RNAcentral.